AAUCAACGCUGGCGGCGCGCUUAACACAUGCAAGUCGAGCGAGAAAGUCCCCUUCGGGGGAUGAGUAAAGCGGCGGACGGGUGAGUAACACGUGGGUUACCUGCCCUUGAGUGGGGAAUAACCUCGGGAAACUGGGGCUAAUACCGCAUACGAUCCUUCGGGAUGAAAGCCUUCGGGCGCUCAAGGAGGGGCCCGCGGCCGAUUAGCUAGUUGGUAGGGUAAUGGCCUACCAAGGCGUCGAUCGGUAGCCGGCCUGAGAGGGCACACGGCCACACUGGCACUGAGACACGGGGCCAGACUCCUACGGGAGGCAGCAGUGGGAAUCUUGGACAAUGGGGGAAACCCUGAUCCAGCGACGCCGCGUGACCGAUGACGCCUCGGU
Molecule: ribosomal RNA, 382 nt
Filed under: uncultured bacterium
Lineage: Bacteria
Description: bacterial SSU rRNA
Rfam family: Bacterial small subunit ribosomal RNA
Source: RNAcentral